GAGAUCACCAAGAAAACCGACAAGUUGAGAGCGAAUGUACAGAGGGAGUUAAGUGUCAACACUAGGAAAUGGAAGUUCCAUGUGCCGUUUCCCUCCAUCUUCGACUUCUCUAGAAAGAUCCACGGUAGAAACAAGCAAACAGCACUACGUAGAGAUAAAGAACACCUUUAGGCUUUGAAUCAUGAUAAAGAAUUGAAGAUGUGUUCUUCUUACCUGCAGGGGCUGACAUAGUACAUGAGAGAGAUUGGGUUUAACUUGAUGCCUUUCCUCUUGACAAGUAUCUCCAUGAAGAUAAGCCGCAACGCUUCUCCAACGACGCCACCCAUUUGGUAAACUACACCG
RNAcentral lists this long non-coding RNA (342 nucleotides) under Brassica napus (rape). Its description in RNAcentral is "long non-coding RNA (BNAP_LNC026420)". Lineage: Eukaryota; Viridiplantae; Streptophyta; Magnoliopsida; Brassicales; Brassicaceae. The record is from RNAcentral.